Non-coding RNA from Peromyscus maniculatus bairdii (prairie deer mouse), 2378 nucleotides. NCBI's taxonomy places the organism in Eukaryota, Metazoa, Chordata, Mammalia, Rodentia, Cricetidae. The record is from RefSeq and is a predicted model, not a curated record.
CUCGGGAGGUCUCUUUGAUGAUCUAUAGUUUUAAGUAUUUGAAAUGUCUCUGAGAAACAAAAUGGUGGAAGUCUUCCUCUUCGCCAUCUUGUUCCUCUGACCACCCCCUCCCCGACACCUCUUCUCCUUGUUCUUGAGACAGACUUCCAUUAUGUUGCCCAGCUGGCCUAGAACUCAUUGUAUAAUUCAGGCUGGCCCGGAAUUAGUGAUUCCCCUGCCUCAGCCUCCCAGGUGAGGGUGCUACGUGGGACAUGUAAAUAUCAAAUAAGUUCCUUCCAUGGCCUCAUUUGUUUCUCAUAACAGUUCCAUGAGGGAGUUAUGCCAGGCGGGAACCCAUUUUGCAGAGGAGGACAUAGAGGGUCGGAGAAGUUCAGCAGUUUUCGAAAUCACUGAGCUGGCCAACUGAGGAGCCGAAAGUCAAAUCCAGUGUCAGAAGCCCCUGUAUUUUCUCAUGACUCUGUGACACCUUCAGAGCUAUACUCCUGGGCAUUCCAAGAACACUGAGCACUAAGAAUAAUGGUUUACACACUGAUAUCUACGAUUUUCUCUCUUUCCCUGGCUUGGCUACAACCCAGUCACGUGAUCUAGGGUGAGUGCAGUCUAAGAAUAUGUGGAUGUCUGGAAGAGAGGAGACCAGACAGCCUUUCAAUGUUGCCUGCAUCUCUUCUGAGAACACCACCUCCAUUUUCUUUGCCAGGAGCAUUCAUCUGGAACCCCUGGCUCUUGUGUCUUCAAGACAGCAGGCAGGUGAAGGAAGUGGCACUGUGGAGGGCCAUCAUUCAUGCUCUGGAAAUCUGGGUUCGUCUUCGGUGUUUCUGUCUGGGUCAGCAGCAGCCCAGUCCUGCUUUUGUGCCUGGGAACUGCCCUCUCCCACCCUCCUAGAUCUCCUAGUAGAAGGCAAAUGGGGGCGCGCGGGGCGGGGGGGUGAGCAUUGGUGUUUAAAGGUAAGUGAUGCACACGAUGUCCCUCAGGCCCUGCUAGGAGUUUGUGGUGGGCUGGGAGUGUUGGUUGAGUGCCUUGCCAGAUGAAUGUGGAGGCAGGAAUGAAGAAUAGCAGACAGUGAAGUGCACACAGCCUUUAACACUAAUGUGUGGCCGUCCAUUAUGUCCUUAAUGACAAUAACAGCAAAACAGUGAUAAUGAUGUGAUGGGCAGAGGGAGCAGGAUGAAUGAUGGGUGCGGACAUCAAGGGGGCCCGUUCUCCUCCUGGAGAACUGGAGUGCUAAGCAGGCUUUCUAGUUUCGGGGGCCUGUGCGCCAUGCUCUGCUGGCAAGACGCCCCUGUGGGACCCAAAGGGGGAGAAGAAUCCCUCACCCGGGAUCUUGGGGACGUCAAACUGCUUCUUACGCAACAGCCUCCUAAUGAGUUAAGUGUAAAUGAAUCAGAAGCAGAUGGAUUGGACUGUUCUGGAAAUACACCCGAGGUUUAAAAAUUAAGGGAAAAAGCAGUUGGCAAAAGGCAUUUUGGGGUUUGCCAAGACCCAGAACAUUUGAAAAACAGUUCAAGCUUUUUUUUUUUUUUUCCUUCCCUUUUUCUUUUUCUUUUCUCUUUGGUUGCAAAACCCAAAAUGCUGCCUGGAGGCAGUAGAAAGAUCUGGGCCUCCAUUCUUUCAAGCUGAAGUUCUCCUGCCGUGUGGGUAAUGGGCCCCAGACAGGAGGCAAUGGGCUAUGGAAUUGCAUGGAGAAGGACUGUCCAGGGGCGAAGCAGCCUCUCCAUGUGAGCGAGGGCCCCUGGAGCCUGGAGCUCCCAUCGCGGUCUCAGCCCUCUAGGCCGGCUUUGGGCUGUUACCCAGGUCUCAGGUGGUGCCUCUGUCUCUCCCAAGACUUGACUCAUUUCUGCCAAUCCAGCGGAAGCUCCUUUUGAAAGGGAAGUCGUUUCCAAUGUUCUAGGGCCCUCCAUUUCCAAGACACGCUAUCCUCCUUUGUGGCUUUACCGGAAUCCCGUCUGGCAGAGCAAUAUUGGUGUUUUGCUGAGCAGAUGGAAAAACCUGGAAUCCAGCACUCUGUGUGUUCAGAAACACCAUGGUCCAGUCGACUUACUCACUCAUCCCUCCGUGCCCUGGGCUCUUUCAGGGCACCCUGUGUUAUUCGCGAAGAUCCCUGGCUCCUGUCCUGUGGAAUGACUGACAUUUCUUCCCAGUCCAGCUGAGCCGUGGGCAGGACUCCAUCCUUUUUUCCUUGGCAUCUGCAUCCCAUUUUCCCAUCUCAGCAACACUAGACAGUAGCCCGGGCUGUCUAGGUGGAUGUCACUUGCCUCUGGAUUAAUGCCAUCCUAAGCCACCUGCUUCUUGUGUGUGGCUCUGGCAAGUUUCCUGAAGAUAGAGGUUGCAUCUGGGACUUAUUUUUGUUUCUCCAUUUGCCCAAAUGAGUGUUCAAUAAA